CUGGCGGAAUGCUUUACACAUGCAAGUCGAACGGUAGGAGGGGGCAACCCCUUGAAGAGUGGCGAACGGGUGAGUAAUAUAUCGGAACGUGCCCAGUCGUGGGGGAUAACGUAGCGAAAGUUACGCUAAUACCGCAUACGAUCUAAGGAUGAAAGCGGGGGAUCGCAAGACCUCGCGCGACUGGAGCGGCCGAUAUCAGAUUAGGUAGUUGGUAGGGUAAAGGCCUACCAAGCCAACGAUCUGUAGCUGGUCUGAGAGGACGACCAGCCACACUGGAACUGAGACAGGNUCCAGACUCNUACGGGAGGCAGCAGUGGGGAAUUUUGGACAAUGGGCGAAAGCCUGAUCCAGCCAUUCCGCGUGCAGGAUGAAGGCCCUCGGGUUGUAAACUGCUUUUGUACAGAACGAAAAGGUUUCUACUAAUACUAGGAGCUCAUGACGGUACUGUAAGAAUAAGCACCGGCUAACUACGUGCCAGCAGCCGCGGUAAUACGUAGGGUGCAAGCGUUAAUCGGAAUUACUGGGCGUAAAGCGUGCGCAGGCGGUUAUAUAAGUCAGAUGUGAAAUCCCCGGGCUCAACCUGGGAACUGCAUUUGAGACUGUAUAGCUAGAGUACGGUAGAGGGGGAUGGAAUUCCGCGUGUAGCAGUGAAAUGCGUAGAUAUGCGGAGGAACACCGAUGGCGAAGGCAAUCCCCUGGACCUGUACUGACGCUCAUGCACGAAAGCGUGGGGAGCAAACAGGAUUAGAUACCCUGGUAG
This 760-nucleotide ribosomal RNA is filed under the name uncultured beta proteobacterium. Its description in RNAcentral is "bacterial SSU rRNA". It matches the Rfam family "Bacterial small subunit ribosomal RNA", at positions 36 to 793 of the family's 1533-position model. Lineage: Bacteria; Pseudomonadati; Pseudomonadota; Betaproteobacteria. The record is from RNAcentral.